GUCCUGGUUCUUGGCUUACGUAUAAUAUAUAGAUGGAACCAUUGCAUAUGAAGUUCUCAGACUCCCACAGAUCUGAGUUGAACUUUGAAACUUUAAAAUACUAGAAAGAAGACGCUAUGGGCGAGAACAUUCCUAUAAUUCAGGAAAAUGUAAUUCCUUUGAAUAGCAUCGCACUUGCUUGCUUUCAUCCUCAGUUAUCCUGACAUCCUUGGUAGGCAGGAUGUGACUAAUGCAAUGCACGGAAUCACACUUCUUAAUGGCAUUUUCGGACUGGCAGCGGCAGUACCAGCUCUCAGGUGCAAUUGGAAUGGAAAUUCUGCUAAUUGGGUCUUGAAGCUAACACCUCUCUUGGAUAAAGCGAGAUCUUCGAAAACUAUGAGAAAUAAAAUUAUCCGCUUCUACCUGUAUCAAUGAAUCAUGCCACCUACUGUCCAUUUUAAGUCACCAGGAGGCUUGUUGGCGAGGACCAGAGAGAAAUAAAUGGAAAAAAAGAAAGUAACCAAGAAAACUCUUCCCAGCCUUGGGGCUUUGGAAGAAAGAUGAGAAAGGGCCAUCUCGAAGCAAAAAUAAGCAUUUAGACUCGUUAUCUUCUUAAAAGGCUCUCAAGAAAGCAAAAGUCAUGUAAGCCAUUCCCUUAGAAAUGGCUCUUUUAAGCGCGCUACUUUCGAGUCCUCCAGAGGACGAUUUUUAUUUUAUUAUAUUUUAUUUAUAAUGCGUGGCGUUUGCUUAUUUCUACGGUAGGGGACUAGGUUUAAAAACAGCACAAUAUUUUUCUACUUUUUCCGCCCACCCAAUGUGGAAACUUCUGUGUAAGGGGGACUUUGGCACUUGACAUCAGCUCAGAAACUUCUGAGUUGGCGGGAAGUAAGGGUUAACAAGUGGUAGACCAGUCGCCGACUUUUUAGAGCCGGCUUUCGGAGGCUCCAGGUGUACGUAAACACACACACACACACACACACACACACACACACACACACCGCCCAGCUCUUUCUCCUCCAGGCGGUUACUUAGCCUAAGGGCACCAUUUGGCCUUCACGCAAAUUACUUAGCACGGAGAGUUUAUCGCGAAGAGGAAAUCCCUGUAACUCCGAGAGGAGUUGGGAUAUCUACAAAGCGUGGCCCCGGGGCUUCACCCCUGGAGGAAAGGAGGGAAUCAGGUGGUGGCCAGCAUGCGAGCACUGAGUUUCUCUGCACACGUUAGCAAUCAAGUUAAUUGAAUUCAUUGGCGUUUAGAACCGGCCUCUAGCUCAGAGAGAGCUUUGAAUGGCCAAUUUCUCUUUCUCCCUCUCCCCCUCCCCGCCUCCCGCCCGCCCCCCCGCC
RNAcentral lists this long non-coding RNA (1320 nucleotides) under Equus caballus (horse). RNAcentral describes it as "lncRNA (ENSECAG00000045261.1)". Lineage: Eukaryota; Metazoa; Chordata; Mammalia; Perissodactyla; Equidae. The record is from RNAcentral.